Non-coding RNA from Triticum aestivum (bread wheat), 73 nucleotides. The record is from Rfam. Lineage: Eukaryota; Viridiplantae; Streptophyta; Magnoliopsida; Poales; Poaceae.
GCGGGGAUAGCUCAGUUGGGAGAGCGUCAGACUGAAGAUCUGAAGGUCGCUUGUUCGAUCCAUGCUCACCGCA